RNAcentral lists this non-coding RNA (211 nucleotides) under Sedimenticola thiotaurini. The record is from RNAcentral. Lineage: Bacteria; Pseudomonadati; Pseudomonadota; Gammaproteobacteria; Chromatiales; Sedimenticolaceae.
CAACCCAGUAAAACUUCAGGUGCCCGGCUCUGUAGAGCCGGGAGAAUCGGGAAAGCGGUGCGACUCCGCUACGUGCCCAACGCUGUGAUGGGGAUUUCACAGACCGGCGGUUGUUUUACAGGCUGCCGCCAGCCACUGGACAUAGGAUUCGGGAAGGCGUCUGUGGAAGUGGAACCUGAGUCAGAAGACCGGCCUGAAGUGCAACCUCAUC